CAUUCAUAAAUUUGGAUUUUCAGCUUUCAAAAUGACACUUUAAUUUAUUUUCAGAGGGCCAUGGCUGAGAAGAACCUUUUCGAUCUUCAUCCUAGCUUUUAUGUCUCAUGUAGGCAAUGCACAGUCUAUGGCCCACUAAUGUAUCCACAGCAUGCCCACUGAUCCUCACUCACUCAGUGUAAAAGGGCUUACUUAAUUUUUUUCCAGGAAGAGAUGCAGAAUGGGGAAGAAAAGUGAACCUUAACAUUUGCCAUCUAUGAAUAACACAUUAAGAAGAUUCAAAGACCGGCCCAGUAUAUUCCUCUCCAUGGAGAAGCUGUACACGUGUCACAAAAAAGUUGGCAGGAGCUAGGGCUGACAGCUGGAGCUCACCCUGAUUCACAGAUUCAAACUACCAACCUUCAGGUCAGCAGUUCAACAGCACAAGAGUUUAACCCAUUGCACCACCAUGGCCCUCCCCAAUCCCCUCCGGUGACUUUGUGGAAGAUGACAUGCUACUGCAUUGUAAUUCCAACUGGAUAUAGGACAUUUGAAUUUGUAUGACAUUGUAUGAAUGGGAUAUACACUAAAAUCUGCCUUGUAAUUUAAUAUACAUUCUCAUGUGUUUAACCUAUAUCUAGAUUUCAUAUUAAAAAGCAUAGUAGAUAAUCAUGAAACAAUUAAGAGUGUGCUGCCUUUUCAUGACACUCAUGAUGAGGCCAACCACUAAUAGCAGUAUUGACCGACCACACAUUAUCCAUUUGAGUUCUUUCAAAUGAGCAAAUGAGAAGUGUGAACAUCCUGAAACAAUAACAUGCUAAAAAAUAAACAGAUGGUUAAAAAGUGAGCUGUGACAAUAAGACAUCAUAAAUUCCUCUGUGUGAAAAGAUCAUUGAUUCUUUUCUCACGUUGGACUGCCUAAGAUACAAAGGCAUAAUUGACCUGCCUUUUUAUAGGGCAUUCUCAUAAAUCUUUCAUAGCUGAAUCACUGCUUAUGUUGACAAUAUAUUAUGGACUCAAUAAAAAAGAUCUUGUGCCUGGUAGGCAUGUGCCAUGAUAGGAAAGGGUGCUGCUAUAUUGCUUUCUUAAAAGUGCUAAGUCCUUCAUAGUUUUCAAAUCUAUUUUUUGAUGCUAACUCUCUUUACUUUGGUCCUCAGAAGGGUAAUGAACUACAACAAGGCUUUGGAACUAAAAAUGCAACUUUUACAAGACAGCUUCCCAAACACUGGAUAGUCGUGCUGGAUUUACACUAACACAUCAAUAUUGCAAUACACUGGUUUGUACUUCAUUUUGGAAACAACUCUUUGGCAGUCAAAUUGAUUUAUUUAUAUUUAAGUAAUGUAUGAUGUAGUCCGUAUGAGUUCUGGACAGAACAUAAUUCUACAAAUACAGAUUCUCUUUUUAUCAACAUGCAGCUUGCCUUUCAAAUCUGUGUGAGUGUAAGGUAACCUAAGAGACUUCAAAAAAGCAAAGAAACACAAACCAGGCCCUGGGUUUUACUCAAUUGUUUACAGGAAUAGACUUAACUUGAAGAAAGUAAUUUAUUCUGGACACAACAGCAUCCAUAUGAGGAAACUGCUACCAUGGCUUCUUACUCAACACUAUAACUCCAGCCGUGUUAGAAAUCUUUGGUUAUAAAGGACAGUGUACAUUAUGGAUAUAAUAGAAAGCAGGAACCGAGUACUUUUGGCCCUCCAGACAUUGAUGAAUUAUG
This 1693-nucleotide long non-coding RNA is filed under the name Anolis carolinensis (green anole). RNAcentral describes it as "lncRNA (ENSACAG00000041010.1)". Lineage: Eukaryota; Metazoa; Chordata; Lepidosauria; Squamata; Anolidae. The record is from RNAcentral.